CCUACGGGGGGCAGCAGUGAGGAAUAUUGGACAAUGGGCGGAAGCCUGAACCAGCCAAGUAGCGUGCAGGAUGACGGCCCUACGGGUUGUAAACUGCUUUUAUACGGGAAUAACGCGCCUUACGUGUAGGGCUUUGCAUGUACCGUAUGAAUAAGGACCGGCUAAUUCCGUGCCAGCAGCCGCGGUAAUAAGGAAGGUCCGGGCGUUAUCCGGAUUUAUUGGGUUUAAAGGGACCGUAGGCCGCAUGUCAAGCGUGCUGUGAAAUGUCCGGGCUCAACCCGGGCCUUGCAGCGCGAACUGGGGUGCUUGAGUCCGCGGAAAGCAGGCGGAAUUCGUCGUGUAGCGGUGAAAUGCUUAGAUAUGACGAAGAACCCCGAUUGCGAAGGCAGCUUGCUGCAGCGGAACUGACGCUGAUGCUCGAAAGCGCGGGUAUCGAACAGGAUUAGAUACCCUAGUAGUC
This 460-nucleotide ribosomal RNA is filed under the name uncultured bacterium. Its description in RNAcentral is "partial 16S ribosomal RNA". It matches the Rfam family "Bacterial small subunit ribosomal RNA", at positions 338 to 795 of the family's 1533-position model. The record is from RNAcentral.